CAAGACCUUGCGCUUUUGGAGCGGCCGAUGUCUGAUUAGCUAGUUGGUGAGGUAAAGGCUUACCAAGGCUUCGAUCAGUAGCUGGUCUGAGAGGACGACCAGCCACACUGGGACUGAGACACGGCCCAGACUCUUACGGGAGGCAGCAGUGGGGAAUUUUGGACAAUGGGGGCAACCCUGAUCCAGCCAUGCCGCGUGAGUGAAGAGGGCCUUCGGGUUGUAAAGCUCUUUCAGCCGGAACGAAACGGUCACGGUUAAUAACCGUGAUCACUGACGGUACCGGAAGAAGAAGCACCGGCUAACUACGUGCCAGCAGCCGCGGUAAUACGUAGGGUGCGAGCGUUAAUCGGAAUUACUGGGCGUAAAGCGUGCGCAGGCGGUUUUGUAAGUCAGAUGUGAAAUCCCCGGGCUUAACCUGGGAACUG
This 425-nucleotide ribosomal RNA is filed under the name uncultured beta proteobacterium. Its description in RNAcentral is "bacterial SSU rRNA". It matches the Rfam family "Bacterial small subunit ribosomal RNA", at positions 207 to 623 of the family's 1533-position model. The record is from RNAcentral. Lineage: Bacteria; Pseudomonadati; Pseudomonadota; Betaproteobacteria.